This 452-nucleotide long non-coding RNA is filed under the name Lytechinus variegatus (green sea urchin). RNAcentral describes it as "uncharacterized LOC121421534". Lineage: Eukaryota; Metazoa; Echinodermata; Echinoidea; Temnopleuroida; Toxopneustidae. The record is from RNAcentral.
GGGUCCCUGUUUUAUUAUGUUUACUAGGAGGGAGAUUAUUUUGUAAAUGUGAUUUUAAAUGUAGUAGAAUUCAGAUAAUGUCAGAGACUUGCUUUUUAACUUUAUAUAUUCCAAUAUAUUUAAUGUUAAUAUAUUCUAUAAUUCUAAGCAGUGGAGUACAUUUCUAGCUACUGUUGCAGCUCCAGCUGUCUGAUCUCGCAUUCUUGAAUCUGCAAACAAGUUUGAGACAUCAUGGUAAUUAUACAGAAUACAGAGUGAACAUGGACAAACAGAAAGAAAAAAAAAUUUACUUGCAAAACUUAAUUUUCUACUUUUGAAUGAUAUAAAUCUUACAGAUACCGGGAAGUAUAGUGGGACAUUCAUUUUUAUUUUCUGAUUAAAGUAACACAGCCAUGCUCUACAAGAUCACCUCUUGUGUUGCAUUUUAGUCAAAUUAACUUAGUAACCUACAU